Molecule: ribosomal RNA, 434 nt
Filed under: uncultured bacterium
Lineage: Bacteria
Description: partial 16S ribosomal RNA
Rfam family: Bacterial small subunit ribosomal RNA
Source: RNAcentral
AGCGAACGCUGGCGGCAGGCCUAACACAUGCAAGUCGAACGAAAACUUCGGGGUUAGUGCCGCACGGGUGCGUAGCGCGUGGGAAGGUGCCUUUGGGUUCGGAGUAACUCAGGGAAACUUGUGCUAAUCCCGAAUGUGCCCUUCGGGGGAAAGAUUUGUCUCCGUUAGAGCGGGCGGCGUCUGGUUAGCUAGUUGGUUGAGGUAAUGGCGCAUCAAGGCGCCGGUCAGUAGCUGGGCUGCGAGGAAGAUCCGCGACAUUGGGACUGAGACACGGUGCAAACUCCUACGCGAUGGAGCAGAGGCGGAUCUAGCGCAAUCGGGGAAAGCAUGACGGAGCUAGGCCGGGUAAAUGAUGAAGGUCGGAGGAAAGUGAGAUUCUUUAACCGCGGACGAUAAUGACGGUACCCGCAGAAGAAGCCCCGGCUAACUUCGUG